UACAUGGGGUGCAAACGUUGCUCGGAAUUAUUGGGCGUAAAGCGCGCGUAGGCGGUUGCUUAAGUCGGAUGUGAAAGCCCUCGGCUUAACCGGGGAAGUGCACCCGAAACUGAGCAGCUUGAGUACGAAAGAGGGUCGCGGAAUUCCCGGUGUAGAGGUGAAAUUCGUAGAUAUCGGGAGGAACACCAGUGGCGAAGGCGGCGAUCUGGGUCGAUACUGACGCUGAGGUGCGAAAGCGUGGGGAGCAAACAGG
This 253-nucleotide ribosomal RNA is filed under the name uncultured bacterium. RNAcentral describes it as "partial 16S ribosomal RNA". It matches the Rfam family "Bacterial small subunit ribosomal RNA", at positions 524 to 776 of the family's 1533-position model. The record is from RNAcentral.